UACAGAGGUCCCAAGCGUUGUUCGGAUUCAUUGGGCGUAAAGGGUGCGUAGGCGGCGCGGUAAGUCGGGUGUGAAAUCUCGGAGCUUAACUCCGAAACUGCAUUUGAUACUGCCGUGCUUGAGGACUGGAGAGGAGACUGGAAUUUACGGUGUAGCGGUGAAAUGCGUAGAUAUCGUAAGGAAGACCAGUGGCGAAGGCGGGUCUCUGGACAGUUCCUGACGCUGAGGAGCGAAAGCGUGGGGAGCAAACAGG
Molecule: ribosomal RNA, 253 nt
Filed under: uncultured bacterium
Lineage: Bacteria
Description: partial 16S ribosomal RNA
Rfam family: Bacterial small subunit ribosomal RNA
Source: RNAcentral